RNAcentral lists this unclassified non-coding RNA (222 nucleotides) under Hevea brasiliensis (rubber tree). Lineage: Eukaryota; Viridiplantae; Streptophyta; Magnoliopsida; Malpighiales; Euphorbiaceae. The record is from RNAcentral.
AGAGACCCCGAUGUGUGGGAAAAUCCAUCAGAUUUUACCCCAGAAAGAUUUUUGACAGAAAAGAAUGCGAAAAUUGAUCCAAGGGGAAAUGAUUUUGAGUUGAUUCCAUUUGGGGCAGGAAGAAGAAUUUGUGCAGGGACAAGGAUGGGAAUCUUACUAGUGGAGUACAUAUUAGGCUCUUUAGUACACUCUUUCGAUUGGAAAUUGCCAUAUGGAGUUAAU